AUGCAUUUGCACUUACAGCAUUUACUGUGCAGUAGCAAUGAUUUGGCCAUUAGCGGGACAACAAAUACAAGGGGGAAACAGUGGCCAAUACUGAGCAUACCUGAACUCUGUUUCUGGAUGUGCGUGUCCAGAUCACUCCUUAGACCCGUUUCCACGAGAAUCUGCAAAGAUUUUUUCACUUUCAGAUGGUAAUUCAAGCCAUGAAUUAUGGGACAGUCCGUAUCCACAUUAUCCCAAGGGAAUCCCUCUGAAAGAAUGUGGCCUCUUUGCUCUUGUAGGUGAGAGGAAAGUUUUCUUCCAACUUGAUGGAAGUACUGCUUCCAUUUGCUGCCAACUCUAUUAAUCUUUUUCCCAAGAGAAAAUAACUAUUCUGUCCUUUUCCACCUUUAAUUUCUCCUGUUUAGGUUUAUUUCUUGUGAAGAGGACCCAUUUUUUUCUCUAAAGAGGCAGUCUUUUCUUGCAACAGCCACUCAAGCAUUAUGAUCUUACCAUGGCUUGGCCCUUCUGGAAAUACUGAAAUGUGAAAAAGGGCACUUGGAUCCCGUGGUGAUGAGCAGACUUAAAAGCACUUUGGUAGAUCAAAAAGGCUGAGUUGCUGAGUUUUGUGGCUUCUGUUUGGAUUUUUUGUUUCAUUUAACCUGUAGUGUCAACACAGCCAAAACUCUGCAAGGCAAACCAGACAGAAAAAGCCAGUUGGGAAAUGACCUGAAACUGUUGUUGGCACCACACUUUAAAAGCGAGCUUUUUUUAUUGUCUGCAAAGCAGACACUGUAGAUCACUACCCUUGUGUUAUUAACUGGUGCAAUGCUGAAGGUUCCUCUGUCAGUGGUAUUUCACAUAGAAAAAGAAAAUCCAAGCAAACUCUCACUUUAGACCUGGGGUUUUAACCUUUUUUUAUAGCAGGAAUUUUUCCUCUUCUGAUUUUCAAGCCAGAGAAAAAUUGUAUCACUGGUCCUGACUCCUUUGUUGGACACAUCAAAUCAAUUAUAAGGCAUGUGCAAAAGACUUCAGAAGUGCUUCAGAGAAUCCUGAUUAUUUUCCUAACGCAUUUACUAUUUUUUAAACCAAUAUCACCAAGAAAGGAAAAAAUCAGUAUCUUCAUUGCUGACAGAAAAACUGCAUGAUCCCUUGAAUUCAGGAAGAGGAAAAGAGGGGGAAAAAAAGAAAAACAAAUGAAUUGGUUGUCUGCUAUGCAACAAUUGCAUUAUAAAAAGAAAAAAAAAGGAGUGAGAAAGACAAAGGCAUUAUAAAUCUACCAAAGAAAUGACGUUUAGAAUGCCCUCUCUUGACCUUUAUUAUCAAGGCACAAAGUGUAUGUUUCUCAGUGUCCAAUUCUUGCUGAACUUAAUCUAAUACACUGUCUACCAUAUUCCCUCCAGGGAAUGCAGUGCCAAACGAACACAAGGUGUUCUCACAUUAAAAUGUUCUAUCAGUAUUGCUGUGGGCUGCAGAGGAUAUUAAGUCAGCCAGUCCCAUUGCUGCUCUACCCUGGAAAAGAGGCCAAAGUUCAACAGUUUCAUUAAUUCAUUCAGGAAGAGAGGAAAGUAAAAACAAACCGAGUAUUUGUUUUCAUUGAUUGUCCAGGCUUCAUUGAUUGUCCAGACAACCGACUCACUUGGUCAUCUUUCCCUUUUUCCCUGUAUUUCCCUUCCCGAAAUCAAGAGAUUUUGGGACCUUUACUGUCUGAAAUAAAGACACUGACAAUAAUUAAAUCA
This 1715-nucleotide long non-coding RNA is filed under the name Coturnix japonica (Japanese quail). RNAcentral describes it as "lncRNA (ENSCJPG00005008439.1)". The record is from RNAcentral. Lineage: Eukaryota; Metazoa; Chordata; Aves; Galliformes; Phasianidae.